ACGGCUCAGUAACACGUGGACAACCUACCCUUAGGUCGGGGAUAAACCCGGGAAACUGGGUAUAAUACCCGAUAGAUCUCGACUGCUGGAAUGCAUCGAGAUCGAAAGCUCCGGUGCCUAAGGAUGGGUCUGCGGCCUAUCAGGUAGUAGUGGGUGUAGCGUACCUACUAGCCUACGACGGGUACGGGUUGUGAGAGCAAGAGCCCGGAGAUGGAUUCUGAGACACGAAUCCAGGCCCUACGGGGUGCAGCAGGCGCGAAAACUUUACAAUGCCGGCAACGGCGAUAAGGGAACCUCGAGUGCCAGGUUAUAAAUCUGGCUGUCGUGAUGCCUAAAAAGCAUUGCAUAGCAAGGGCCGGGCAAGACCGGUGCCAGCCGCCGCGGUAACACCGGCGGCUCGAGUGGUAACCGUUAUUAUUGGGUCUAAAGGGUCUGUAGCCGGCCGGAUAAGUCUCUUGGGAAAUCCAGCAGCUCAACUGUUGGGCUUUCAGGAGAUACUGUCUGGCUCGAGGCCGGGAGAGGUGAGAGGUACUUCAGGGGUAGGGGUGAAAUCUUGUAAUCCUUGAAGGACCACCAGUGGCGAAGGCGUCUCACCAGAACGGACCUGACGGCAAGGGACGAAAGCUAGGGGCACGAACCGGAUUAGAUACCCGGGUAGUCCUAGCCGUAAACGAUACUCGCUAGGUGUCGGCCACGGUGCGACCGUGGUCGGUGCCGUAGGGAAGCCGUGAAGCGAGCCACCUGGGAAGUACGGCCGCAAGGCUGAAACUUAAAGGAAUUGGCGGGGGAGCAC
RNAcentral lists this ribosomal RNA (793 nucleotides) under uncultured archaeon. RNAcentral describes it as "bacterial SSU rRNA". It matches the Rfam family "Archaeal small subunit ribosomal RNA", at positions 85 to 879 of the family's 1478-position model. The record is from RNAcentral.